Molecule: ribosomal RNA, 254 nt
Filed under: uncultured bacterium
Lineage: Bacteria
Description: partial 16S ribosomal RNA
Rfam family: Bacterial small subunit ribosomal RNA
Source: RNAcentral
UACGGGGGGGGCAAGCGUUGUUCGGAUUUACUGGGCGUAAAGGGCGCGUAGGCGGCCACCGCAAGUCGGUUGUGAAAUCUCCGGGCUUAACCCGGAAAGGUCAAUCGAUACUGCGGGGCUAGAGUGCAGAAGGGGCAACUGGAAUUCUCGGUGUAGCGGUGAAAUGCGUAGAUAUCGAGAGGAACACCUGCGGCGAAGGCGGGUUGCUGGGCUGACACUGACGCUGAAGCGCGAAAGCUAGGGGAGCGAACGGG